Long non-coding RNA from Oryzias melastigma (Indian medaka), 1092 nucleotides. RefSeq lists it as uncharacterized. The record is from RefSeq and is a predicted model, not a curated record. Lineage: Eukaryota; Metazoa; Chordata; Actinopteri; Beloniformes; Adrianichthyidae. The transcript has 3 exons.
AGAAGACAACAGUAUGAGGGGAAAAAACGAACUUUUAGACUACAAAUAGUAACUUUAAAAAUUAUUUCCUUAAAAGAGUUUGGAAAAUUCAUACCCCUCUUCUGGGAGAAUCCUGAAAAGUUCUCAAGCCAGCCAAUAGAUUCUGGGUCUUCUCUGGGGUCUUCACCCAGAUGGACAAGCCCAUAACACAAGCCCAUAACACCUCCCCAUGAAAGCAUCUUAGAGACUUCCAAACUAGAUGCUUGAGCCACCCCAGCUGGCUUCUCUCGAUAUGGAGAAUCCAACAACCCUGCGGAGACAACUCAUCUUGGCUGUUUGUAUCCGGAGCCUCGUUCUUUUGGUGAUGACCCAGAGCUCAUGACCAUAGGUCAGUCACAGCAUGUGGAGCCUUCACCCAAUAUUUGUUUGUUCACCUUGUGCUGACUCACUGCAUGAACACUUGUCUGAAGCCUUAUCCAAUACUUGCAGAGUGAUGCUGGAAGCCAAUGGGGAAAAGAAUAAAUCUGCUGCCAUAAUGUUGGACUGUAUAUUGGACACAUCUAUGGAGGAAACUAUAGCUGCCUUUCAGGCCUUUUUAUUUUACUGUCAAAUCUUUGCAUAGCUUAACCCGCAGUGGUCUCUGAACUCAUCGGUGAGUUUACCAAUCCCUGUUUACAAUGACCUUGGAAUGACAUUGACUCGCCCAACUAGUAUUAUUAAGAUUCAAAAUAAGAAAAAUGCUUUAAAAUGUUUUAUUUUAAAGCAAACACAAGACUUAUGACACUUAACUGUGAUACCCCUUGGAACGUUUUAGGUAAUUUUAUUAGAGCUUUGCUUGUUUUUUUUUAGACAUUUUUCACCCAUUUUUACCUUUUCUUUGUUUUGUUUGUGAAUAUAUACACUUUUAUUUUGCCUCUAAAUUACAGUGGCUGACACGGCUCACCUAAAUGAGAAAGACACAAAACAACGACUAAAGCCACAACAUGACGAUAAAAGCCGCUGUGAUAGUAGCGGCGGCUGGGGGCUCUCUGUUUGCCGCGCUGCGAUCAUUGUCUCAUUUUCAUUAAUGAUCAAAGUUUCACUCAGCGUCAAUAGCUUCAAACUGAAUGAAAC